This 166-nucleotide small RNA is filed under the name Chrysemys picta bellii (western painted turtle). Its description in RNAcentral is "TUC338 (ENSCPBG00000019312.1)". Lineage: Eukaryota; Metazoa; Chordata; Testudines; Emydidae. The record is from RNAcentral.
CGGAAAGGCCUAGAGAAUUAAGUCCUCUGUUCAUUCAUAGAGCAGGUAGAGCGCAAGCUUUCCACACAAUACCCUGUCAAUGUGCCUCAAUCUUGCCUGGAGAGAGACCACUUCAAAAGGGUGAGAAGGCAAUUCAGUCUUUAUAACAGUUCUACAUGCAUCAAUA